This is a small nucleolar RNA of Apodemus sylvaticus (European woodmouse), 126 nucleotides long. RefSeq annotates it as small nucleolar RNA SNORA17. The transcript has a single exon. NCBI's taxonomy places the organism in Eukaryota, Metazoa, Chordata, Mammalia, Rodentia, Muridae. The record is from RefSeq and is a predicted model, not a curated record.
CCUGCCCCUAGAAGCAUUGCAGGUGUGGCUGCUGUGUCACAUGUGUAGGUGGCAGAGAAGAGACUGGCUAUGUCUAUGAUCAGUGUUCUGACCUGUGAACAGCUGAAUGAUUAGUAGACUAGAAUU